GCCCGCCUAGCUCAAUCGGAUAGAGCGUGAGACUUUUACGGCCUUCUGGCGGGGUAAUCUCAAGGCUGCGGGUUCAACCCCCGCGGUGGGCU
RNAcentral lists this transfer RNA (92 nucleotides) under Dichomitus squalens. Its description in RNAcentral is "tRNA-Lys". It matches the Rfam family "tRNA". From Rfam's summary of the family: Transfer RNA (tRNA) molecules are approximately 80 nucleotides in length. Their secondary structure includes four short double-helical elements and three loops (D, anti-codon, and T loops). The record is from RNAcentral. Lineage: Eukaryota; Fungi; Basidiomycota; Agaricomycetes; Polyporales; Polyporaceae.